Molecule: ribosomal RNA, 492 nt
Filed under: uncultured bacterium
Lineage: Bacteria
Description: partial 16S ribosomal RNA
Rfam family: Bacterial small subunit ribosomal RNA
Source: RNAcentral
AGUGGACGCUGGCGGUAGGCCUAACACAUGCAAGUCGAACGGCAGCACAGUAAGAGCUUGCUCUUACGGGUGGCGAGUGGCGGACGGGUGAGGAAUACAUCGGAAUCUACUUUUUCGUGGGGGAUAACGUAGGGAAACCUACGCUAAUACCGCAUACGACCUACGGGUGAAAGCAGGGGAUCUUCGGACCUUGCGCGAUUGAAUGAGCCGAUGUCGGAUUAGCUAGUUGGCGGGGUAAAGGCCCACCAAGGCGACGAUCCGUAGCUGGUCUGAGAGGAUGAUCAGCCACACUGGAACUGAGACACGGUCCAGACUCCUACGGGAGGCAGCAGUGGGGAAUAUUGGACAAUGGGCGCAAGCCUGAUCCAGCCAUACCGCGUGGGUGAAGAAGGCCUUCGGGUUGUAAAGCCCUUUUGUUGGGAAAGAAAAGCAGCAGGUUAAUACCCCGCUGUUCUGACGGUACCCAAAGAAUAAGCACCGGCUAACUUCGUG